Long non-coding RNA from Bombus huntii, 2352 nucleotides. RefSeq lists it as uncharacterized. The transcript is spliced from 2 exons. Lineage: Eukaryota; Metazoa; Arthropoda; Insecta; Hymenoptera; Apidae. The record is from RefSeq and is a predicted model, not a curated record.
AUUUCUAAGCUUAAGAUUUUUAUUUCUAUAUUCUGCGUGUCGAAAACUGUAAUAAUAUAUAUAAAAAAAAAGUCAAUAAUUUUAUGUCCCCUAAAGUAAAGUACAACAUCUGGUACAGCCAAUUAUUUUAUUUUGUUCUUCAUCAGCAUUCCAUGUACAUUUUUCGUAAUAUAUCUAAAUAUGUGACAAUAUGAUCUCAAUGUCACUAUUAUGUCAAAAAUAUCAUACUUUACCAAAUAUGAGUACAUUUUUCAAAAUUCGCCGCAUAUUUUCUUUUUUCUCUAAAAAAAAUAUAGUUUUUGUCUAUACUAACGUGGAACCAAACACAGGGCAGAUCCCUAAUUUUCUGGUUCUUGUAUAUGCUAGCGUCGAUCAGCUUCAGCACUUGACCGCAUGGUGCAUCACCUGUACUGUGAAAUUAGAACAUUUUCUGUCUCCUAUUGGCCAUCGACUAGCAACACAAGCAACGUUCAAGUAUUAUUAACCGACAGCCAGUAGCUACAGCCGCAGUAAUUACGUUUUGUAUAUUAUCGACUUGUCUCGUUGGAUGGAAUAUAAUUAAUAAUAACUUUCCUUAUUAUUUACUAGGAAAGAAUAUACAUGUUAGUAGUAUAUGCAAAUAAUAAAAAAACAUGAUUAAUUUUAUGUAUAACUGUAUUUUAUUAUACAUAACCUUUAACCUUAACUUUCCAUCGUUUUGAAGUAUCAACUUUAUCAUUUGAUAGUAGGGAAGUAAUAAAACUUCGGAGGAUAAUAAAAUGAUCUGAAUAUAUAAUAAAAAAAUGUUAUCUCAUUCUAUAUAGAACUACAUCACUUGUAAUUAGAAACUAGAGAAAUGAUAACGCUCUUUUUGUCCCAUUAUAUUUUCCAGCUUUAUUAUCUUAUACUAUGAACUAAAUAAAUUGCAGUUAAAAUCCUCAUUAUGCUACAGACAAAAAUAUGAUCUAAUAUUUACAAAUGAGGUGUGUAACGCAAGCUUAACAAUAAGUUUUCAAAAAUUUGAUAUUAUAUCGACAAGUUCAUUACAAGACGGCACAGUAUGUGGAUAUACCUUAUCAUCCACUCUCAUUAAAAAUUAUCAACAAUUACAAGACGGUUCUUCACAGUGCACACCAAGUCUAUAUCGUAGAAAUUACUUUACUGUAUAGAAAUAUCCAGCCACGCUGCAAUAUAUUAUGCUGUGCCCUAUUGUAAGAAAUUGGUUGUUCUCCUUUGCGCAACAGAUAACAAAAUUAUAUGUAUCUGUUUACGAAAUCCGUUGAAAAAAGUCUAAGAUCCAUUGUCAUUCAAUUUAAUUGUUCGUCACACUAUUUACAUGUAAUUAGUUACCUAAAAGUAGCGGUAAAAUAGGUAACAUCUAUUCUAUAGUAGAAUUAAUUAUAUGAAUAGUUUCAAAAAAUUUUUUUUUUCUUCAAAUUAACAUUAUAAAUCAGAAAGCAGAAUGGAACUUGAAAUGCUAGUUAAUUUAAUAGCAACGCGUUAGAAUACGAAAUGAAUGUCAUGUACACAGUUAUAUGAGAUAUCCUUGUGGUGAAUGAAUAUGGUUGUUAUCACUAUAUGAUUUCUCGUUUAGAAACGUUUACCAUUGUCACUUUUAUGGCAUGAUAUACUCCUUAUUCUAUGUUACAUGUAUGAUAAGAUACUUGACUGCGUUUAAAAUGAUACAAUUACAUAGAGACACUUGGCAAAAAAUGAAACUUCGUACAGCAAGUACAUAAACAGAAUAGGGAUGUAUGAGACAUUAAAUGAGUGUGUCAUUUUACUAUUGUUCGUUCUUAACGUUCUUUUUCCCCCUUUUCCAUUACAUUAUCGUAAAAUUAACACGCAGAUAUUGUAAAUUAAUCGUCAGUACAAGUUUAGUGUUUCUUUCCCUUUCCUCUUUAUUUUAAUUAGAUUUACCACUUCAUUCUUCGAAAUUAUUUUACAUAUUCGAAUCAAUAGGAAUUUAUGGAAGAAUUCAUUAACAUCGGUUUUAUUAACGUAAGGUCUACAAAAAUUAUUGCGUGUUACAUUUUGUUUACACCUUUAACGUUAGUUAAUGUUGGAUCCUUUGUUUACAAUUUACACGCAUCAAUAAGUUAUGGCAAUUCGUAGGAUAGCUUUCAAAUAAUAUAUUUAACAUUCGCCAUAUUCUAUGUAGGACGGCCAGUUGAAAACCUUUUAUACAUCUCCUUCUUGUCAAAGGAUUAAAAGACAUUUUUAGCUCGAAACUGUUUUCCCUCCGAGAGCAAAUUAAACAUUCUCACGUGUGAAGUAGAUUUCUUCUUAACUUUCAAUCGUUUUUGAAAUUUCACGCAGUUUCUAGAUACACAGGGAGAAAAAAGGAAAAAAAAGAAAAGAAAAGAAAAGAAA